GCAUGUUGGCAUAUGGCUCCUCACAAGUCAAGAUCUCCCACAUUGCAAUACCAAAUGAGUACACAUCGACCUUCUCAGAGACUCGAUUGCUGCUGCCAUCAAGUAAUUCUGGUGCCAUCCAUGGGAGGGUUCCACGCACCCCACCAGACACUAGCGUAUUGUGUUUAAUUCUUGACAAUCCAAAAUCUCCAACCUUGCAUAUGGGUCGUUGUGGAUCCCUCAAAUUCACGAGCAAAUUGUCGCACUUCAAAUCAAAAUGAACA
This 263-nucleotide unclassified non-coding RNA is filed under the name Hevea brasiliensis (rubber tree). The record is from RNAcentral. Lineage: Eukaryota; Viridiplantae; Streptophyta; Magnoliopsida; Malpighiales; Euphorbiaceae.